RNAcentral lists this ribosomal RNA (545 nucleotides) under uncultured Rhodocyclaceae bacterium. RNAcentral describes it as "bacterial SSU rRNA". It matches the Rfam family "Bacterial small subunit ribosomal RNA", at positions 989 to 1533 of the family's 1533-position model. The record is from RNAcentral. Lineage: Bacteria; Pseudomonadati; Pseudomonadota; Betaproteobacteria; Rhodocyclales; Rhodocyclaceae.
UCCGGAAUCCCGAAGAGAUUUGGGAGUGCUCGAAAGAGAGCCGGAACACAGGUGCUGCAUGGCUGUCGUCAGCUCGUGUCGUGAGAUGUUGGGUUAAGUCCCGCAACGAGCGCAACCCUUAUCAUUAGUUGCCAUCAUUCAGUUGGGCACUCUAAUGAGACUGCCGGUGACAAACCGGAGGAAGGUGGGGAUGACGUCAAGUCCUCAUGGCCCUUAUGGGUAGGGCUUCACACGUCAUACAAUGGUCGGUACAGAGGGUUGCCAACCCGCGAGGGGGAGCUAAUCUCACAAAGCCGAUCGUAGUCCGGAUCGCAGUCUGCAACUCGACUGCGUGAAGUCGGAAUCGCUAGUAAUCGUGGAUCAGCAUGUCACGGUGAAUACGUUCCCGGGUCUUGUACACACCGCCCGUCACACCAUGGGAGUGGGUUUCACCAGAAGUAGGUAGUCUAACCGCAAGGAGGGCGCUUACCACGGUGGGGUUCAUGACUGGGGUGAAGUCGUAACAAGGUAGCCGUAGGGGAACCUGCGGCUGGAUCACCUCCUUU